Molecule: ribosomal RNA, 396 nt
Filed under: uncultured bacterium
Lineage: Bacteria
Description: partial 16S ribosomal RNA
Rfam family: Bacterial small subunit ribosomal RNA
Source: RNAcentral
AUACGUAGGGAGCGAGCGUUGUCCGGAAUUACUGGGUGUAAAGGGAGCGUAGGCGGGAUCGCAAGUCAGAUGUGAAAUACAUGGGCUUAACCCAUGGGCUGCAUUUGAAACUGUGGUUCUUGAGUGAAGUAGUGGUAAGCGGAAUUCCUGGUGUAGCGGUGAAAUGCGUAGAUAUCAGGAGGAACACCGGUGGCGAAGGCGGCUUACUGGGCUUUUACUGACGCUGAGGCUCGAAAGCGUGGGGAGCAAACAGGAUUAGAUACCCUGGUAGUCCACGCUGUAAACGAUGAUUACUAGGUGUGGGGGGACUGACCCCUUCCGUGCCGCAGUUAACACAAUAAGUAAUCCACCUGGGGAGUACGGCCGCAAGGUUGAAACUCAAAUGAAUUGACGGGG